This 206-nucleotide long non-coding RNA is filed under the name Elaeis guineensis (African oil palm). RNAcentral describes it as "long non-coding RNA (EGUI_LNC000365)". Lineage: Eukaryota; Viridiplantae; Streptophyta; Magnoliopsida; Arecales; Arecaceae. The record is from RNAcentral.
UCCAUCCACCUUACCCUCGUUCUCUUGUGCUCUCACUCUCUUGGCCACGAGGCACUGUGUUCUUAUACUAUCAACAGAAAAAAGUCUAAAAAAGUAUAGACUUAUUUGUUCUCGAUGUACAAGAUAAUAAGAUAUCUUUUUAUUUUUCGUUGUGUUAUUUUUGAAUUUUUUUAUUUAAUUUUUUUUAUCAUUUUAAAUCAUGAGUC